Molecule: ribosomal RNA, 497 nt
Filed under: uncultured bacterium
Lineage: Bacteria
Description: partial 16S ribosomal RNA
Rfam family: Bacterial small subunit ribosomal RNA
Source: RNAcentral
GAUGAACGCUGGCGGCGUGCCUAAUACAUGCAAGUCGAGCGAACGGACGAGAAGCUUGCUUCUCUGAUGUUAGCGGCGGACGGGUGAGUAACACGUGGAUAACCUACCUAUAAGACUGGGAUAACUUCGGGAAACCGGAGCUAAUACCGGAUAAUAUUUUGAACCGCAUGGUUCAAAAGUGAAAGACGGUCUUGCUGUCACUUAUAGAUGGAUCCGCGCUGCAUUAGCUAGUUGGUAAGGUAACGGCUUACCAAGGCAACGAUGCAUAGCCGACCUGAGAGGGUGGUCGGCCACACUGGAACUGAGACACGGUCCAGACUCCUAAGGGAGGCAGCAGUAGGGAAUCUUCCGCAAUGGGCGAAAGCCUGACGGAGCAACGCCGCGUGAGUGAUGAAGGUCUUCGGAUCGUAAAACUCUGUUAUUAGGGAAGAACAUAUGUGUAAGUAACUGUGCACAUCUUGACGGUACCUAAUCAGAAAGCCACGGCUAACUACGUG